Molecule: non-coding RNA, 45 nt
Filed under: Trichobilharzia regenti
Lineage: Eukaryota; Metazoa; Platyhelminthes; Trematoda; Strigeidida; Schistosomatidae
Source: RNAcentral
AUCCAGAUGAAGAGUCCUAAACAAGACGAAAUGCACAUCCUUGAU